Long non-coding RNA from Myotis daubentonii (Daubenton's bat), 3959 nucleotides. RefSeq lists it as uncharacterized. NCBI's taxonomy places the organism in Eukaryota, Metazoa, Chordata, Mammalia, Chiroptera, Vespertilionidae. The transcript has 2 exons. The record is from RefSeq and is a predicted model, not a curated record.
AGUAUAUAAAAGAAAACAUGUUCUUAGAAUGCUUGUGUUUAAACAAAAUAAAAAUUUAUGAAAUUUUGAGUGAACUCUUAAAUAAGCUGUUCCCGGUUAUACAGAAACCUGAAAUACCUCUCAAUUUGGUCUCUGAGGCUAGCAUACCCCAUAUUUUAAAAUAUUGUCCAUCAAAGAUAACUAUAGACAUAUCUUAGGAACAAAUGUAAGUAAGUCAUUGGAAGAACAUUAGCAAACUAAAUCCAAAAGAAUUGUCAUGACAAAGUAGGGUUUGCUCAAAGAACACAAUUAAUGUAACUCAGUACACUUGGAAAUCUGUUACUAUAACUUUUUACAUUAGAAAAAACACCAUGUGAUAAUCUUGAUAGAUGCUAGAAAAACAUUUUCUAAAAUUUAACAUUUCAGAUUUCAAUUUUGUCUGGCUAGGAAUAGAAACUUGGCUAAGGAUAUCUACCAAAAAUGUUCAGCAAAUGUCCACAUUCAAGUCAGAGCAAGCCUGUUGGCUAUACAACAGUCACUUAACCCAAAGAAAUAGAAAUAUUAGGGAGAGACAACACAGCCGUUAUUUUAGGCAGUAUGAUUGUGGAGGCAGUACAUUAGAGAGAAUCAAUUGGAAAACUAUUAGCUCUGAUAAGAGGUAUUUUUGUUUAAGAAUUUAACAUACAAAUUUGCAGCUUUCUAUAGACCGGUAUCAGACAAUUAGAAAUGUGAUUUAAAAAUUCCCAUUUGCAAUAAAAAUCUAUGUGCUCUCAGCAAUUCUUAGACACUUCCCGCCUGCCCCCACAUUUUACUAACUUGGGUUGGAAUGUAUUUUACCAUUGAUGGCACCUUACCAUUGCUGUUGGCCACGGGGUAUUUGUUGGGUAAAGAACUAUAUGCUUUCUAAGAGUGAGUGAGGAAAGCACAAAUACCUAUGGAAAAAAAACCCCCCUACAUUUUCAUGAAGGGUAUAAAACGCCUGAAUAAAUAGCUAAAAUAUCCUGUGUUCCUGUUUAUAAAAACUGUUUUGUCCAGACAUCAAUUACCUUAAAAUGAAUUUAUAAAUUCCAAUUCCAAUGGGAUUUUGUUACUUAGAAUUAAUGUUGGCUGUAAGAGCAAGUUAAAACUAACAAUAGCUUACAUAAGAUUGAAGUGUCUCAUAAAAAUUCAGGAGGGCAAUCUAGGGCUGGCGCCCUUCCAGGUAUCAGAAAGGGAUGCUCCUGGCUUCCAAACCUCUGAUCUCCAGUGAGCCUGUCUCUUCUGGUCAAUGGACAGGAAGAGAAUAACGGUCACACACCUUAACUUUGAGAACAGUUGCCCGAAAUUGUACCUACGUAUCUUAUGUUAAUCCCAUUGCUUAAAACACGAACACUCCUGCCAAGAAGGCUGGGAUUUGUAUUUAUUUCCGUGUUUCCAGCUAAAAAGCAGGGGUCCUAUGCAGUGGUUCUCAACCUGUGGGCCGCGACCCCUUUGGCGGUCGAAUGACCCUUUCACAGGGGUCGCCUAAGACCAUCCUGUAUAUCAUAUAUUUAUGCUACGAUUCAUAACAGUAGCAAAAUUACAGUUAUGAAGUAGCAACGAAAAUAAUUUUAUGGUUGGGGGUCACAAUAUGAGGAACUGUUUUAAAGGGCCAGAAGGUUGAGAACCACUGGAUUAAAGGAAAGGGGGAAAUGGAUAUGAGGCUACAAUUAGCCACAUAUGCCAUUCAAGUGACUCAGAAAUUCAUAUGCAAAGUAACCAAGAAAAACUAAAAAGAACAAUGAGGAAAAUUUGACUAUGUUUCUUACUAGAAACAAAACUAUAAUACUGUAUCAAAAAAUCAAUGAAACAAAGGAAAAUAAUAAUAUGUAGAUAUAUGGUAUAUGAUUAAGAUACAGUUUUAAAUGAUGGGUAAAGAAAUAGCCUGUGAAUGAAUUGGAGACAGAAUAGCCACACUGGGAGUACCUGCCCAUGUCACACUGUGCACAAAGAUACAUUUCAAGUGGAUUAAAGAGAACGGUUAAGAAAACCAAAGUACAUAAGUGCUAAAAUGUAGGAAAAUCAUAAUUUUGGGGUGCAGGUUUUCCUAAGCAAGAUAUAAACCCAAGGCGUGGCUCAGUAGUUGAACAUCAACCUAUGAAUCAGGAGGUCACGGUUUGAUUCCCGGUCAGGGCACAUGCCUGGGUUAUGGGCUCGGUUCCUGGUAGGGGGCGCACAGGAGGCAGCAGAUCAAUGAUUCUCUCCCAUCAUUGCUGUUUAUAUCUCCCUCUUCCUCUCUGAAAUCAAUAAAAAUAUAUUUUAAAAAAGAUAUAAUCCCCAAAAAUGAGACCUAAGGGAAAAUAGCGACACAUUUGGAACAUGAAACGACUGCAGGGUGAAAGACCCUGAGCAAAGUUGAGAGCGGAGGACACAUUUGCAAUAUGUAUAUAUGACACAAAAGAUUAAAUUAAUAAAGAACUUCAGCAUAUCAAUUAUUACAUUGAUAAAUAUUCAGAGAUUUAUAAUAGCCACUUUUGGUGAGGAAAAUAGGCCCUCUACCAGAUGGUGAAUGGCUGAACAAAUAGUUUCAUCUUAUUUGGAGGGCAAUUUGGAAGUAGCAAAAUUUAAAAUGCACAUACUAUCUGAUCUCUCCUAUAAACAACUAUUCAUUUGCCUGAAAUCACAAAUACCUGAAAUACACAUGAAUGCAAAGAUACUUUAUUUCAUCUAAUCUAAAAUGUAUUGAGGCUAAUGCUUUUUUACUAUUACCAGAAGUUGUCAAAAAAAGAUUUUUAAGCAACAAAUACCCCGUGGCCAACAGCAAUGCUUUCUGUAGCAGCUGGGGUAUGACAGCCUUGUCCCUGAUCUGUAAUUCCAGACAACUCCAGGGUGAACUGGCAGACUAAUCCAAAGCUACUACGUCAGAUAAAGUGAUGCUGUUUGCACAACUCAGUGUCCUCAAGAGAUAUUCAUGUAAUACCCCCGAUUUGUAUUCUGCAUGAAACUCCUUUUACAAGACAUAAACUUCCCAUAGGGAGCAAACGUAGCCAGCUAAAAGAUGCUGAACAUAAGACUGUGUAAUGUAAUUUUAAACUCAGAAGGAAUUGGCUAGGCCUUUUCCAUCUUAGAAGCCGAAAGCUAUAAAAGAACCCACGAUUUCUUUUUUAAGUAUAACAUUCUUAAUUUUGGGAUUCUAAUCAAGCCAUGUUCUAACUCUAAUCAAACAAUGCUCGUCAUAUGACGGAUUAAUAUAAAUAUUUGAAUUGUAUAUAUCAUGAGAUUUAAGUACUCACAUUUAUCACAAAAAACUAAUUGAUUUAUUAUUUCUACCUAAUUGACUUACAUUUGAAGCAGCUAAUUAAAUGAUUUCUGUUGUCACAUUAAUUGCAUUAGAGAAACUUUGACUAAAUGAUUUAUUUGUGUUUUAUUUGCAUGGUACUUGCUAAUUCUCCUCUCGUUCUCAAUCAGGGAUUCUCCAUCUUCGCCUGUUAAUAUUUGGGUUGGAGACUUGGUUGUGGGGGCCUCUCCUGUGCCUUAGAGGAUGUUCGGCAACAUCUGAGUUCUCUACGUAAUAGACUCCAGUGGCACACGCCGUCAUGACAGUCAUUGACGAAUGUCCCCUGGGAGGCAAAAUUCUGCCCAACUGAGAAUCAUCAGUCUAGAUAAAAGUAGUUGGGUGUGGGGUUUGAACUCUAAAUGUUCCGUUUGGAGAUGUUGGGAUUUUUUUUUAUUUUAAAGCCACCUUAGAUUCAGCAAUUCUAGGAAGCAUUCCUGGGUUUCCUUGACCCUCUCUUCCUCUACACACAAAUAAGCCAUGCUCUAGACCUUUCUCUCUUCACUCCGUGCUCUGGGCCUCGCUUUCCAGAAGGGAUAUUGUUUUCUUUGUUCCUUUCUCCAGCCAGCACAGUGCAUGGCACAAGGAAGAGGCUCAAAAAAAUGAGCUGGCUAGAAGAAUGACUGUUACCCAUUACUUUUCUCUGGGAAGUAUAUGUCUCUAAAUACAGACCUUUGUUUAAAAAUCA